GAUGAACGCUAGCAGAACGCCUAACACAUGCAAGUCGAACGGAUUUGUUGACUUCGGUUAACAAGUUAGUGGCAAACGGGCGAGUAACACGUGCUUAAUUUGCCCUGGAGAGGGGAACAACUACAGAGAUGUAGCUAAAUCCCCAUACGCUCAUAGAAAUGAAAAUACUAUGAGGAAACGAGCAAUUGCUCUAGGAGAAGGGCGCGGCCUAUCAGGUAGUUGGUGAGGUAAUAGCUCACCAAGCCUAUGACGGGUAACCGGUCUGAGAGGAUGUCCGGUCGCAAUGGAACUGAGACACGGUCCAUACCCUUACGAGGGGCAGCAGUGGGGAAUAUUGGACAAUGGGCGAAAGCCUGAUCCAGCGAUUCUGCGUGAAGGAUGAAGUUUUGCGGGGUGUAAACUUCUUUUCUGGGGGAAGACGAAUGACGGUACCCCAAGAAUAAGAGACGGCUAACUACGUG
This 461-nucleotide ribosomal RNA is filed under the name uncultured bacterium. Its description in RNAcentral is "bacterial SSU rRNA". It matches the Rfam family "Bacterial small subunit ribosomal RNA", at positions 28 to 507 of the family's 1533-position model. The record is from RNAcentral.